GUUUGCUCGACACAGCCGGUCCCAAGCCCGGAAAAGGAGGAGGGUUUGAGUCAACUGAUGGGAUCUCAAUGUUUUUUAAUUAUCUCUGCAUUUGUGUUUUUUCUGCCUAUUAUUAGGUUGCCUCUACUCUCAACUCUUUCUGAUUGCGUGCAUCUUUUCUGUGUUGCUGGUUCAACUUUUGGAAUAUUAAUUACAUUGGGAGUGUUGAAGGCUUUAUUCUUGUAGCUGGGUAUAGAAAGGAGUCUACGAGCUGCUGUCUUUGGAGAAUUGAAUGAUCUAGGGCUAACAUAAUAAUCUCGAUUUCCAUUCCUUGACUCUACUUGUGGAUUUCACCUUAUUUUUGGCAGUUAGAUGUAACUGGUUCUAGACGAGCUGUGUUGGCUGGCCAUACAACUUUUGCAGUGGAAUGCAAAAUGAACUCUUCUUCAUUUGCCAGGUUGCACGAACCAUUUUAGGUGUGCUGUCUCUUAAGAGUAAGUUUUACUUGUCCUAUUAUUUAUCCAUAAUCUGUUUCUUGCUUUGAAAUAAGUGACUUAUUACUUUUAAUUUAAACUAUGUGCUCACUGGUAUGGGGAAUGAGAACUUCUAACCAUCCAUGUUCAUGAUAUACACGGAAGUCAAAACUGUGAGAUGCCACAUUGUGAAUGUAUUAAUUUCAAAGGGCGUUAUAUAUUAAAUGGAAAAGUGUUCUUGGUUGUUCUGCAUGUUACACUGUAUUCAAAAGUUGCUUUAUUGUGUCAAUUUAUGUUUUUAUCUAAUAAUAGGCUCUUGUAAUUCCAUCUGUGUCAAUCCAUAUCUAAGAUAAUAUAACAUUUAGGAAAAUGGUAUAGCUCGAGUUACCUAUCUUAGAGAACUCGUGACAGUCUUAUUGACACACCUUUGAUCAGUUAAAAUUAUUAAUGUAAAUUGUUAGAUAUUACCUACUAGUAUAGCAGCGAAAUGAAAUAGUCAUUUAACUACAUUAAAUGUAUGUAAGAAAAUGCCCUCGAUCUGUUUAGUUCAGUUCUGUGUGAUGUUUUCUGGAAAUUUUCGUCGACUCACUUUGGCAUACAGUCAUAGAAUUCAUUAAUUUACUUGUACAGUCCAAAUUUUACUAGAAUCAAUAAUUAUGAUUAACAUGGCAAAGAUUGCAUAAAUAUAUUUUUAAGACUUCACUGCUUUCCCAAAUUUACUAGAAAUGCAGGAGGGAAGUAAUGAUGGUCAAGAAAAGCUAUCAUUCUAUAUUUUCUUGUUUGCAAGUUCCAUAACUGAAAGGUUUCUCAGAGCUGGACCCAGCUGCAACCGCCGCAUUAGAGCUUCUUCAGGUAAUAGGUCCUCGGGAAGUAGAGAUGACAGAAAGGAGACCGCAUCUGAGAAGGCUUAGAAGGGUAUCCAGGGAAGCAGCCUUGAACAAUUGUGCAGAAUACUGGUUUUGUAUAAUUCAAGGAGAAUGGCGUUUUGGUGUGGAAUCAGAAUUUGGUGAAAUACUUUUGUUCUUUCUUUUGAACUCAAUAAAUGUGUAGGGUAGAUUCAAAUCUAUAAACUCACAUAGUUGAGAGGAUGAAGAGCUUUAUUCUUCUUUCAUGUAUGAGAUAAUCCAGGAAGGCUCCAAGUAAGUUCCUUCAAGCACUGGGAAUUUAUCGCUCUGAGGUGUCUCUCUCACUGGAUGGCCUAAACCACAGUUGGAGUCAUAAGGAAAAUACCAGUUGGACAGGAAGCCUUUCACCGCCUUCUCACGCUAAUGAAAGCCAUUUUUUGAAUGUGCUACAGGAGAAAUCGAAUAACCGUGGCAUCUCAGUACUUCCCUUCAUUCAUUGAGUUGGAGGAAUCCAUCAUAGGGACAUUGUCUUUUCGAAAGCUUCAAACUCAUGCUCUUCAUCGAAAGCGGCUUCCAAUUGCUCGGAAAUUCUCCGCUCUGAGCUGCUGAGGGAUUAACCUGAUUGCCCUAAGGCUUGGAACGAUUAGGGGAAAACCAUUGAAUUGUGUCGAUUCGAGCUAGCUUCAGGUCUUCUUCAAUCAGAAAGUAAUGCCUUUUCACUAUAGUAAGGGAUUCGAUCCAUAUGCGAAAGGAAAGAGGGAGAAGACAGCUAUCCGAGGCUCAAGCGUAGCUCUAUCUACUGUUCAGGACUUGUCCUGAGCUCUUUAGAGCAAAAAAUUGGAUAUAUCUAUAAAUCUCACUCUCAGAACUCUGGCAUCGUGUGCUUGUACAUUUUGUAGUGCUGGAAUUCUGAAUUUUGUAUCUGGUUGUAUCUGCUUUCCACUUCAAUCAGAAUUUGAACAACUGGGUUUUCAGAUUUUAAUAAAAAUUU
This 2288-nucleotide long non-coding RNA is filed under the name Olea europaea subsp. europaea. The record is from RNAcentral. Lineage: Eukaryota; Viridiplantae; Streptophyta; Magnoliopsida; Lamiales; Oleaceae.